AUUUUAAUUUUAAUUAUUAAAAUUAAGUAAUGAUGAUAAAAUUAGUAUAAAUUAAUAUAAUAAGUAUUUAUGUAUUAUAAGGUUAAGUAAAGGAAUUCGGCAAAUUAUUUUUUACCUGUUUAUUAAAAACAUGUCUUUUUGAGGAUAAUUUAAAGUCUCGCCUGCCCAAUGAGUUAUUGAAUGGCCGCGGUAAUUUGACCGUGCUAAGGUAGCAUAAUCAAUAGUUUUUUAAUUGAAAGCUGGAAUGAAGGGUUGGAUAAAAAAAUUACUGUCUUUAUUUAAUU
This 284-nucleotide ribosomal RNA is filed under the name Hydrothassa glabra. RNAcentral's name for it is "partial 16S ribosomal RNA". The stretch from base 83 to 282 matches the Rfam family "Archaeal large subunit ribosomal RNA", at positions 1797 to 2106 of the family's 2987-position model. The record is from RNAcentral. Lineage: Eukaryota; Metazoa; Arthropoda; Insecta; Coleoptera; Chrysomelidae.